GACGAACGCCGGCGGCGUGCUUAACACAUGCAAGUCGAACGGAAAGGCCCCCUUGUGGGGUACUCGAGUGGCGAACGGGUGAGUAACACGUGAGUAACCUACCCUUGACUUUGGGAUAACUUCAGGAAACUGGGGCUAAUACCGGAUAGGAGCUCCUGCUGCAUGGUGGGGGUUGGAAAGUUUCGGCGGUUGGGGAUGGACUCGCGGCUUAUCAGCUUGUUGGUGGGGUAGUGGCUCACCAAGGCUUUGACGGGUAGCCGGCCUGAGAGGGUGACCGGCCACAUUGGGACUGAGACACGGCCCAGACUCCUACGGGAGGCAGCAGUGGGGAAUAUUGCACAAUGGGCGGAAGCCUGAUGCAGCAACGCCGCGUGCGGGAUGACGGCCUCGGUUGUAACGCUUCGUCCUGUGACGAAGACGUGAGUGACGGUAAUGGGUAAAGAAGACACCGGCUAACUACGUGCCAGUAG
This 470-nucleotide ribosomal RNA is filed under the name uncultured bacterium. Its description in RNAcentral is "bacterial SSU rRNA". It matches the Rfam family "Bacterial small subunit ribosomal RNA", at positions 28 to 514 of the family's 1533-position model. The record is from RNAcentral.